Non-coding RNA from Caenorhabditis elegans, 150 nucleotides. NCBI's taxonomy places the organism in Eukaryota, Metazoa, Nematoda, Chromadorea, Rhabditida, Rhabditidae. The record is from Ensembl.
AUGUUUGCGAGUGAAUGACAUGCAGUGAAAUGAGAGGGGAGAUGAUGAGAGAUCGGGCGCCAUUGAGAUACGCAGACGGUUAGACAUUUGUUGUUUACAGCUGCCUUCUUUUUUAUUGGCACAAAAAACAGAAAGAGCUCCUUCCAAUGC